ACGGGUGAGUAACACGUGGGUAACCUGCCUCAUAGAGGGGAAUAGCCUUUCGAAAGGAAGAUUAAUACCGCAUAAGAUUGUAGUAUCGCAUGAUGCAGCAAUUAAAGGAGUAAUCCGCUAUGAGAUGGACCCGCGUCGCAUUAGCUAGUUGGUGAGGUAACGGCUCACCAAGGCGACGAUGCGUAGCCGACCUGAGAGGGUGAUCGGCCACAUUGGGACUGAGACACGGCCCAGACUCCUACGGGAGGCAGCAGUGGGGAAUAUUGCACAAUGGGGGAAACCCUGAUGCAGCAACGCCGCGUGAGUGAUGACGGUCUUCGGAUUGUAAAACUCUGUCUUCAGGGACGAUAAUGACGGUACCUGAGGAGGAAGCCACGGCUAACUACGUGCCAGCAGCCGCGGUAAUACGUAGGUGGCAAGCGUUGUCCGGAUUUACUGGGCGUAAAGGGAGCGUAGGUGGAUAUUUAAGUGGGAUGUGAAAUACUCGGGCUUAACCUGGGUGCUGCAUUCCAAACUGGAUAUCUAGAGUGCAGGAGAGGAAAGUAGAAUUCCUAGUGUAGCGGUGAAAUGCGUAGA
This 576-nucleotide ribosomal RNA is filed under the name uncultured bacterium. RNAcentral describes it as "bacterial SSU rRNA". It matches the Rfam family "Bacterial small subunit ribosomal RNA", at positions 102 to 694 of the family's 1533-position model. The record is from RNAcentral.